Molecule: ribosomal RNA, 835 nt
Filed under: Bacillus sp. (in: firmicutes)
Lineage: Bacteria; Bacillati; Bacillota; Bacilli; Caryophanales; Bacillaceae
Description: bacterial SSU rRNA
Rfam family: Bacterial small subunit ribosomal RNA
Source: RNAcentral
CGUGCCUAAUACAUGCAAGUCGAGCGAACAGAAGGGAGCUUGCUCCCGGAUGUUAGCGGCGGACGGGUGAGUAACACGUGGGUAACCUGCCUGUAAGACUGGGAUAACUCCGGGAAACCGGAGCUAAUACCGGAUAGUUCCUUGAACCGCAUGGUUCAAGGAUGAAAGACGGUUUCGGCUGUCACUUACAGAUGGACCCGCGGCGCAUUAGCUAGUUGGUGGGGUAAUGGCUCACCAAGGCGACGAUGCGUAGCCGACCUGAGAGGGUGAUCGGCCACACUGGGACUGAGACACGGCCCAGACUCCUACGGGAGGCAGCAGUAGGGAAUCUUCCGCAAUGGACGAAAGUCUGACGGAGCAACGCCGCGUGAGUGAUGAAGGUUUUCGGAUCGUAAAGCUCUGUUGUUAGGGAAGAACAAGUGCGAGAGUAACUGCUCGCACCUUGACGGUACCUAACCAGAAAGCCACGGCUAACUACGUGCCAGCAGCCGCGGUAAUACGUAGGUGGCAAGCGUUGUCCGGAAUUAUUGGGCGUAAAGGGCUCGCAGGCGGUUUCUUAAGUCUGAUGUGAAAGCCCCCGGCUCAACCGGGGAGGGUCAUUGGAAACUGGGAAACUUGAGUGCAGAAGAGGAGAGUGGAAUUCCACGUGUAGCGGUGAAAUGCGUAGAGAUGUGGAGGAACACCAGUGGCGAAGGCGACUUUCUGGUCUGUAACUGACGCUGAGGAGCGAAAGCGUGGGGAGCGAACAGGAUUAGAUACCCUGGUAGUCCACGCCGUAAACGAUGAGUGCUAAGUGUUAGGGGGUUUCCGCCCCUUAGUGCUGCAGCUAACGCAU